This is a long non-coding RNA of Capsicum annuum, 1382 nucleotides long. RefSeq lists it as uncharacterized. The transcript has 3 exons. The record is from RefSeq and is a predicted model, not a curated record. Lineage: Eukaryota; Viridiplantae; Streptophyta; Magnoliopsida; Solanales; Solanaceae.
UUAGAUUAUGUUUCUGCAUUUACGAUAUUAUUAUUAUUAUUCAGUGAUCAGUUACAGAUAUCAGUCAUGGGUUAUCUUGUGGUCCUUUGGGGUCAUGAGCACCGUGUAGCAUUCCUGGUACCAGAUUCGGGACGUUACAAUAGUAGAAAGGUAGUUUUUCAUAAAUCUGCUAAGCAAGUUGUGUGACAAUUGGGCAUGAUUUUUGACAAUGUGAAUGAGUUUAGAGAUGGUGUUAAAAAAAUAUGUACUUUAAAAAGAUGUUCAGUUAGAGAAGUAUAUUAAUGAGUCCAAAAGGGUUAGGGUCAGAUGCAGGAAAGAGUGUCCUUGGCUGUAUAUGUAAGUCUUAACAAGUCUACCAGUAAUUUUAAACUAAAACCUAUAAUUCUGAGUAUACGUGUAUCAAAACCACUAGAAAAGAAAUAGGGGUACUUGUUUGAAUGACUACUGUUAGGAGAGCUAGAGGUGGAAUACUUCAAGAAUUAAUAGGUAAUCAUGUGAAAGUGUUUGGAACAAUAUUUGACUAUAGGGAUGAAAUGUUGAGGUCCAAUCUUUAUUUCACUUGUGUUGUGAAAGUAGAUGAUUUUGUUGACAGUGAUAAGCUUUUUUUUUCAAAGUUUUUACAUUUAUUUUGGUCCAUGCAAAAAAGAUUUUGUGGGUGAUUGUAUAAAAUGUAUUGGCUUAGAUGGAUGUUUCCUAAAGGGAGUAACCAAAAGAUAGUUGUUGGUUGUUAUGGCUAAAGAUGGCAAUAAUCAUAUAUUGCCUAGUGCUUGAGGUGUAGCAUAGUAUGAGAAUAAAAGCACUUGGAUAUGGAUUAUAAAAUUAUGUAUAGAGAACUCGGGAUUUAAAGAUGGCAGAGAUUACAAAAUCAUUUCAGACAUGCAAAAGGUAUUAGAUCAACAUUGAUGGAGUUUUUACCAGAGGUGGGUCAUAGGAUGUGUGCAAGGCACAUCUUUGCCAACUGGAAAAAAUGAAGAGGACUUUAAUGAAGGAAUCAGUUCUAGAAGUGCAAGAAACUCCUUUGAGGCAGAAGAAAAAUUUGAACCAAAUAACCAUGCUAGUCUGGGUUUCCAAGUAGUAUGACACUACAUACUGGUUCUGUAGAGCCUAUAAGGUAUGCUGAUAUUACUGGGGACCUUGGCUAUAAACCAAAAAUAGGAAUAAGGUGAAGGAGCAAAAAAGUAGUGAAAAAUCAGAUUGAAGUGAUCAGCGAUGAGGGGAGAAUGAACAAAAGGCAAAAAAUGACUUCUUCACAAUCCAAACUACAGUGAAAGUAGUUUUAAAAUAUUGAUAGUUUUUUAGAUUAAAACUGAUGUUGUAUUGUUAAUGGGUAGGUUAUUUUGACAAACAAUGCAAUUUACUUUUGCAAGGUCAUUUGUUUUAAA